GUACACGCUGUGACUAGCAUAUCAAUAAGCGGAGGAAAAGAAACUAACAAGGAUUCCCCUAGUAACGGCGAGUGAAGCGGGAAGAGCUCAAAUUUGAAAUCUUAAAGGGUUUCCCUUUACGAAUUGUAGUUUAAAGAAGUGUUUUCUGUUGAGGUUUUGGUAAAAGUUCUUUGGAAUAGGACAUCAUAGAGGGUGAGAAUCCCGUAUUUGACCUUUACUUUCAACUUUGUGAUACAUUUUCAAAGAGUCGGAUUGUUUGGGAAUGCAGUCCAAAAUGGGUGGUAAAUUUCAUCUAAAGCUAAAUAUUAGGCGAGAGACCGAUAGCGAACAAGUACCGUGAGGGAAAGAUGAAAAGAACUUUGAAAAGAGAGUUAAACAGUACGUGAAAUUGUCAAAAGGGAAGCGUUUGACACCAGUGUUGUUUUUCUGAAAAUCAAUUAAAGAACUGUUUAUGCUAAGCUGUUUAGACUUUAUCAGCUAUCUGUUUAGUUUUGAGCUUUUCUUUAAUGCACUUUUCAGUUAACAAGUCAACAUCAAUUUCUUUUGCUGUAAAAAAGCUUGAGGAAGGCGGCUUGAGAUUCGUCUUAAGUGUUUAUAGCCUCUUGCCUAUGCAGUCGGAGAGAUUGAGGUCUGCAGCGUAGAUCCUUCGGGGCUAAAUGCAUUUGUGCUAAGUUAUAGCAUUUUAUAGACAACUUGUUGACUAUGAUUUGUCUUGUAGCUUACUCGCUUAUGUUAUUUUACCUACGCUUAGGAUGUUGAUAUGCAUGACUGAUAU
Molecule: ribosomal RNA, 775 nt
Filed under: uncultured Neocallimastigales
Lineage: Eukaryota; Fungi; Neocallimastigomycota; Neocallimastigomycetes; Neocallimastigales
Description: partial large subunit ribosomal RNA
Rfam family: Eukaryotic large subunit ribosomal RNA
Source: RNAcentral